AACUUUGGCAAAGCUUCUGGACUACACGCAACUGAAAAAAGGAGCUCCAUCGCCCCCAUCCAAUGCGCCAACAUUAACUUGGAGGAGAUUCUGGCGAACUUCCCAGCGACUACAACCCCCUUCCCCAUUAAGUAUCUGGGGUUGCCCCUCUCCCUCGGAAGACUUAGACGUGUGGACCUUCAACCCUACAUAGACAAAGCGGUGGCUCGUCUUAGCCCGUGGAAAGGAAAGUUCCUGAACCGUGCCGGC
RNAcentral lists this ribosomal RNA (249 nucleotides) under Triticum aestivum (bread wheat). Its description in RNAcentral is "partial small subunit ribosomal RNA". Lineage: Eukaryota; Viridiplantae; Streptophyta; Magnoliopsida; Poales; Poaceae. The record is from RNAcentral.